Molecule: ribosomal RNA, 340 nt
Filed under: uncultured Streptococcus sp.
Lineage: Bacteria; Bacillati; Bacillota; Bacilli; Lactobacillales; Streptococcaceae
Description: bacterial SSU rRNA
Rfam family: Bacterial small subunit ribosomal RNA
Source: RNAcentral
UGCAUGGUUGUCGUCAGCUCGUGUCGUGAGAUGUUGGGUUAAGUCCCGCAACGAGCGCAACCCCUAUUGUUAGUUGUCCAUCAUUCAGUUGGGCACUCUAGCGAGACUGCCGGUAAUAAACCGGAGGAAGGUGGGGAUGACGUCAAAUCAUCAUGCCCCUUAUGACCUGGGCUACACACGUGCUACAAUGGUUGGUACAACGAGUUGCGAGUCGGUGACGGCGAGCUAAUCUCUUAAAGCCAAUCUCAGUUCGGAUUGUAGGCUGCAACUCGCCUACAUGAAGUCGGAAUCGCUAGUAAUCGCGGAUCAGCACGCCGCGGUGAAUACGUUCCCGGGCCUU